Molecule: long non-coding RNA, 2781 nt
Organism: Physcomitrium patens
Lineage: Eukaryota; Viridiplantae; Streptophyta; Bryopsida; Funariales; Funariaceae
Source: RefSeq, a predicted model, not a curated record
UUUUUGUUUUUGUUUUAUGGUCCGAUGAAAGAGCUUCAAGAAUUUCGGUGUAUCUCCCUCACCUUUGUGUGUGGUUACGAUUUUUUCCUCUUCAUCCCAUGGAAGUGCUGCGGUGCAGCAUCCUCUCCUUUUCUUCUAUGAUCAGCGUGGAGCUAGGAAUCGCGGUUUAGGCUAAGGGCAUUGCGGUAAGACGUUUAGAGCGGUGACCAAGGAUUUUGGAGAGGUUUUGCAAGGAAGUUGAUCAACGGUCCUAGGAAUGACGGCAUUACUUGUGGAAGUGGUGGAUCCUUUCAAGCAGCUAGAGUUAUCAUCGACAAGAUUUUUUUCUUUUAUGCACGUGCGACGGUGUUACUCAGUGCCUAAUUUUUGUUUUGUUUUGUUUUUUUUUUUUGUUUUUUUUGUUUUUUUUUUUUUCUUCCGCUGCAAGAAGCCGACCGCAUUAUUUAGUUGUGUUUUUAAUUGUCAUUGCGAAUGUUGUUGCCGGUUCUGAUGUUCUAUUGAGCUGCUAGGCUAUGCGAGGGUUAUUCAGUAGCGAAGGAGUAGCGUGAUCACGUCCACCGUCACUUUUGAUCUUCCCCGCUGAUUGUGCUCUAUAUUGCGAUGGCGCUGGUGGUGCUGGGAUCGAGUGUAUCCAAUCCUGGGUAUUGUGAAUUAUUGCUGGACCAAUAUUUUGGAACUAGAGUGAUCUCUAGAGAAGGUCACAUAGUGCUGACAUAUCACUGAUGGCAUAAAAUCACGUGCAAUGUAUAUGAGGAAGAGGCAAUCAACAAGUUUUAGUCAGCCAUAGUGAGAGGUGUCGGUUGAUUGCAGGAACUGAAUUUUUUUGUUAACAUCUCCAUUAAUGCGCUUUGAAGAUGGAAGUUGGUUUUAGAAGCUAGAUGCAAAGGAUUUAGAGGGUUUGCAAUGGUGCGGAAGGAACCUUUGACUUCUUCAGCUGUGGUGGCUAGAUCUCCUUUGUAUUACAUAAGACUAGGGAAGGAUUGAUGCAGUGAAUACCUAGAUUAAGCUUCUCCAUCUGAAACUAGCAGAGUGAAAAUUAUUACCUUAUAGGGCUCAGGGGUUGUGAUUGGUCAUGAUGAAACAAUUCAACUUUUUAGCAGAUCGAGGAGGAAAACAGAGGAGGCUGUGAGGACUAUUCCCUGGGUGGCCUCGGUGUUACUAACCAAUCGAAAUGCAGCGAUGCAGAACAUCUUUGACGUGUGGUUUCAUGCUUGGAGUAAAUCUAAAUAGUUAAUGUUAGCCUUAGCAAAGUAGUGUUGGACGUUGAGUUGUGUUCUUGCCACUAGCGGAUGAGAAAUCUUAAAGGCUCGACCCAGCGCUCUGAAUUUAUAGUCUUGAUUGGAGAAGGCAUGAGAUUCGACGAUGCAGAAAGUGCACUGCAGUACACAGAGUGACCUCAAUCUGCUAGGUUGGUAUUCACUUCAGGAGCUUCAGCAUUAGAACACAAUCAGAUUGUCUUGGUAUCAGCGCCUAACGUAGCGAUAAGCUCCCCGUGCAUACGAUAUCAACAAAUCGAUAGUUCUAGGACUUAUAAGAGUUGACACCGUGGAGCAACCAGCCAUGAAAGGACUUGCUGGUUUACCAUUUUAAGGAUUCUCCUAGAGUCAGGGUGUGGUGGUUUUAGUGGACUCGUUUCAGUUGGGGUGCGAUGCCUUCGUGCUAUUGGAGGUGGAAGGUUGACUCAUCCUUGUCUGGACAUGGAUCUGAGGCGUGGGGCGAAUUCUUGUUUUGCACAUGGAGAGUUGCUACUGCUGAAGAUUGGAGGUGCUGAAGAUUGGAGUCUACUAUUGCAGUGUGGAGUUGCUCGCAGGCUGCACUCUUCAUCCCUCCAGAGCAAUUCCACGAACAAGUUUGUCUACGAAACUCAAAGCCGUAGACAAAUCCGAAGCCGCUAAGAUUGGUGCUCCUUAAGAGGCCUUCCACAUCAGUUGCAUUUGCUUGCUGCACCAAAAGAACCUCUCAUGCAUUGGUGCUCGCAACUCACGAUCCGAUCCACAAGUGCACGAGGUUAACAUUGAUUGCAGAAGAGUAGAAGAAAAUUAAGAGGUUGAUCCUUUUCGGAAAGAUGUGCAUCAUUCUAAAAGCUUAGUCAACGUCAAAAAGGUACUGCGAGAACAAUGACCGGGCCGUGCAGAUGUUGGAGGAGGAAACAGGUGGCGCUCAGCAAUACCUAUCAGCUCGCUCGCUUUGCAAAGAUAGCAUCAACCUGAGAUCUUGGUUAUAACGAUUUUGGUUGCAAUUAUGACAAGGUUUCGAUUGAGCGUUUCCCGAUUGGCUAGCAUCGUCGAAUCUCACGAAUAAGAUGCAAAUGUAGACAAAGGUAAAACAGACACAGCUCAAAUCUACAACAAUGGAAGCCAGGAAGCUGUAUGCCAAGCCUGGCAACAGCGUUGCAAACAGAUGGGACGUCUAAGUCUAAUUUGCAACUGAUAAAACCUUCGGAUAACAUCAUCUUCGGUAUUGCAUUUCAAGGAAGAAGGAGCUCACCACAGCCUUGGACGGUGCUCCAGUGAGUAGAUUAUUAGAAUACAGAAGGGCAGAACCCCCUGCCAUUCCAAAACAAAUGAAGUGCUACAAAAAGCAUGGCUAAACCGCACCUCUAGCGUUUCAAAGCUUUGCCAGAAAGAUGCAAGGAACGUGGCAUCCAAGAUACUGAGAAGCAGACCAAACAUGCAUGACGUUCGUUGUGAGCAGCAUGAAUAUUCGAAUCGCAGCAACUUGUGAAUCCAAUAACAUCUCGAUCCUAAUUAUGUGAAGCUUUGCAAUGAAAUUAUACUGCUA